AGUGAACGCUGGCGGUAGGCCUAACACAUGCAAGUCGAACGGCAGCACAGUAAGAGCUUGCUCUUACGGGUGGCGAGUGGCGGACGGGUGAGGAAUACACCGGAAUCUACUUUUUCGUGGGGGAUAACGUAGGGAAACUUACGCUAAUACCGCAUACGACCUACGGGUGAAAGCAGGGGAUCUUCGGACCUUGCGCGAUUGAAUGAGCCGAUGUCGGAUUAGCUAGUUGGCGGGGUAAAGGCCCACCAAGGCGACGAUCCGUAGCUGGUCUGAGAGGAUGAUCAGCCACACUGGAACUGAGACACGGUCCAGACUCCUACGGGAGGCAGCAGUGGGGAAUAUUGGACAAUGGGCGCAAGCCUGAUCCAGCCAUACCGCGUGGGCGAAGAAGGCCUUCGGGUUGUAAAGCCCUUUUGUUGGGAAAGAAAAGCAGCAGGUUAAUACCCCGCUGUUCUGACGGUACCCAAAGAAUAAGCACCGGCUAACUUCGUG
This 492-nucleotide ribosomal RNA is filed under the name uncultured bacterium. Its description in RNAcentral is "partial 16S ribosomal RNA". It matches the Rfam family "Bacterial small subunit ribosomal RNA", at positions 29 to 507 of the family's 1533-position model. The record is from RNAcentral.